Non-coding RNA from Myodes glareolus (Bank vole), 3412 nucleotides. Lineage: Eukaryota; Metazoa; Chordata; Mammalia; Rodentia; Cricetidae. The record is from RefSeq and is a predicted model, not a curated record.
GAGCACUUCCCGUUCUUGCAAAGGACCAGAGUUUGCUUCCCAGCACCCACCUGGCAGCUCAUAAUCGCCUCCUGUUUCAGGUCAUUAGUGUCUUCUGCCUUCCUAAGGCACCGGGCAAGUGAGUGGUGUACAUAUAUACAUACACUCAGGCGAAACACUCAUACACGUAAAAUAUCGACAAAUAAAACAUUAAAAACGGGAGAAAGCUAACUGAGAGGAUCUCCGGUCUCUCUCAGCUUCCUUCACACAGACACAGCAUGAGCUGCCACCUCACACCCUCCUGGACAUGACACUUGCCUGCCGUGAUGGACUGUCCUUCAAACUGUGAGCCGAAACAAGCCCUUUCCCUCCAGAAGUUGCUUUCAUCUCAACAGGAAGAAAAAAGUCAGGACCACAGUGGCCAUCAUAGGAAGAAAUGAUGGGGAUGCAACAGGCGUCCCUAUGUAGCCUCCUGACUUAAAGUAAGCGAUAAAGCAAUGAGCUCUCCGCAGGACCCUCUGAGACAGGCAAGGCAGCUGUAGAAACAGCAGUGUCGCUUUGGCGGGGGGUAAACAAAUCGCAAGGAGGGAAAUGAGGGUCUGAAAAGGAAAAUUUAAAGGCCAGGCUUUCACUUCUGUGCUCUGGGCUGACAGGAGUGACUGUGUUCAGCGGCCAGAUGUUUGCAAAUCCAGAAUCUUGACGAGAACAGUGCCACCCGACUGUCAUUUCACAUUCGUGCAGGAGAAAUGCCAGUGACAGCAUCUGAAAUGUGUUGGGUGGGCGCCUAUUAUUUGCUUUACACACCUAAUCUAAUCCCUAAUUCCUAUUGAUGCUGACCAGUUUGAUGUUCUUAGCCUCGUGUGUCUGAGGAACACACUUAGGGAUGCUGAUGCCUUUGCCUCCGGAGCUGUAACUGGUGGGCUGUUGGGAAGGUGUGCAAACAGUGGUGUCACAUUGUGCUUUCCCUUUGGGGUAUGUGGCCUUGUGUCAUACAGUGGUGACAUUGUCUCAGUUUCGGUGUUGACAAAAGCAGUAAUGUGAGCCAGCUUCUUUAGGUGCCUCCCCCCUCUGACUAUUCACACUGGCACUCAACUGCUCUGGCUUUUACGCUCAGCUCCCUGAUAGGGUCUGGCUGUGUACAUUAGGCUUGCCUUGAACUCGCACCUCUGCCCCCAACCUCCUGAGUGCCACGACUACAGCACGGUCCCGCCAUGCUUACCUGUCCCAUCACUAAAUUCCCAUCAGGAGUUCUGCAAGAAAGGUCUCAUUUUCUCCUCCCCACAGAGAGGGAAGCGCUCAUAAUCUUGCCAGGAAAUGACGCAGCCAAGUGUCAGAGCCUGGUUUUGUCUCUACCCCAAGGCCGUACCUUCUUUUAUCUUCUAGGUCAGGUCCUGGGGGAGCAUCUCACAGAGGUGGGUGUGUUUGUACAAGACUGACCAUGCUUCCUGGGCGUGGGACUUGCCAUCAGUACCUUUGCAUGAGUCGUUCUGUCUGGGUUUGAAGAGCCCGCCAGUUCUUGCUUCAUACUUUCUCUGGCUUCUUCCAUUCCUGUGCCAGAGACCCUAAAUAUGCAUCUUCUGUUUAUGACUCACCCUGUUUGCCUGUUUUGCUCAUUAUUUUUUUUUAAAAAAAAUAGCUAACAAAACAAACAGAAAGACAACCCACAAAAUAUGAAUGAGCGGCACAUACCCACAGCGUCUCCUGGUUUGUUUUCUUUCCCAUUUUAGAUGCAUUGGAUGGUUAGUAAAAUCUAGCAGAACACAUCUUGGUUUUAGACUGUGGGAGAGAACUGUCACGUUGUCCUGGAUCUUGAACUGUUGCCUAGUCCAUGCCCCUGUUUGAGGUGUCCCCGGAAUGAGGGUGCAGGAAAAGCCAUUAGGAGGAGGAAGAGGAUGAAUUAGAAGGCAGUACAAUGACCCAACACGUAUGAAACACCACAGUGAUACCUGUAACUUUUAUGCUAACAGAAAAUUCUUUAAAAAUGGAAAUAAUGCUGGAUUGUUAUUAAUUCAAUCCUUGGUAAGGAAUUUGGAUUUUAUCUUAUAGUCUUGUUUCUCCUAUCCCAACUCACAGUGGGCCAGGAAUAUUAUUAGCAGGAAUUAGCCUGAUCCUGAGUGUGUGUGUGUGUGUGUGUUUGUGUUGGAAGUGGGUAGGAGGUCAGGCAUGAGCCAGUUAUGUGGUUAGAAUCUCCAACAAGAGGUGCCUAAUUUUUCAAGAAGUCCUUUGGUGGCUUGUGAAACUCACAGGGAUAUGGGAGAUAUUGAAGAGUCAUGGUCCUUGAGUGGGAACACAGAGAAAGAAAGAAUGCUUUUGGAAUGGCUGUGUUCAGGAGUAAGGAGACAUGAAAGGAUUCUUGUCACCUAAGGUCACCGUGGCUGUCAAGGCUGUGUGGUGAACACACACAGAGCAUCCGCUAUUCCUUGCGCCUCCAGUCUUUCCUUGUCAUCCUGCUGACCCAAGUUGGAUCAUAAGCCAGGAGAGAGGGAUAUCAGGAGCCCAAGCUGACCUGGAAUUUGCUUUAUAACCCUUGUACACCUGAGCCUCUUGCCUUCACCUCGCGAGUGCUGGGAUCACAGGUGUGUGCCUCCAUCCAUGUUUUGUGCUGCUGGGAAUUGAACCUUGGGCCUUCCACUUUACUAGGUAAGUACUCUACCAACAUAUUGACAUGUUCAGCUCAAGCUCCGUUUUGCACACAUGAUCCCAUCUUUGCAUCCAGUCCACCAGAGUCUGUGACAUCAACAGAGACUAUAGUGACUCUCUAAGUGAUGGAGGAAAUCCACUCUUUCUGAGGUGAGUAUCUAUUAAAGGAUUGGCUGUCUGCAAGACCUUGCUUUUUCAUGCAGAGGUGAUCUCAAGCCUAGUCUGGAAUGCUGAAUGAAUGUUGGUACAGAAACCAAUGGGAUAUUCUUAAUUCGAAUUUGAUUAAGUCUGCAAAGUGGUCUGAGGACAAACAGUAAUAAAAACAACAAACAAAACAUCAUCAUCAUCAUCAUAAUAAUAAUAAUAAUAACAAUCCCUAAAACUACAUGAAUAUAAUAGUUUUCCAUGGAAAAUCUGUCAGUUUUACUCUUUACUUUGAAAUAUUUCUUCUAAUUUUAACCUAAGAACUGGUUAUGUCAUUGUAUGUCAAAACUUACUGAAGAUGAGGUGAAUCCCUUCACUCAAGGCUCUUUGUGAGCUGACAACUUUCUUUGGGAACAAAAGAAUCUGACAGGCAUCUUAACGACUUCUCACAGAUGCCUUAGUCACCCGCAUGUGCACAUGCCCAGGGCUGCACAGCAUUGCAGGUAAAGGCCAGCUUGUGAGCAGUUCCUUCGGGGUUCAGUACAGUGCCCCCAUUGCAAAGAAGACCACAAAAUCAGUGCCGUCUGUCUGUCUGUCUGUCUGUCUAUCAUAUAUCUAUCUUCGCAUCUAAAUCUAUCUAUCAAUUUAU